RNAcentral lists this ribosomal RNA (501 nucleotides) under uncultured bacterium. RNAcentral's name for it is "partial 16S ribosomal RNA". It matches the Rfam family "Bacterial small subunit ribosomal RNA", at positions 29 to 523 of the family's 1533-position model. The record is from RNAcentral.
AUUGAACGCUGGCGGCAUGCCUUACACAUGCAAGUCGAACGGCAGCACGGGUGCUUGCACCUGGUGGCGAGUGGCGAACGGGUGAGUAAUACAUCAGAACGUACCUUAUCGUGGGGGAUAACGCAGCGAAAGCUGUGCUAAUACCGCAUACGCCCUGAGGGGGAAAGCGGGGGAUCGCAAGACCUCGCGCGAUUAGAGCGGCCGAUGCCUGAUUAGCUUGUUGGUGGGGUAAAAGCCCACCAAGGCGACGAUCAGUAGCUGGUCUGAGAGGACGAGCAGCCACACUGGGACUGAGACACGGCCCAGACUCCUACGGGAGGCAGCAGUGGGGAAUUUUGGACAAUGGGGGCAACCCUGAUCCAGCAAUGCCGCGUGAGUGAAGAAGGCCUUCGGGUUGUAAAGCUCUUUUGUCAGGGAAGAAACACCGGCUCUAACACAGUCCGGGAAUGACGGUACCUGAAGAAUAAGCACCGGCUAACUACGUGCCAGCAGCCGCGGUAA